GAGUAACGCGGGGGAAACCUGCCUGUAAGUUGGGGAUAUCUCCGGGUAACCGGGGCUAACACCGAAUGAUCAAUUUUGGCGCAUGCCACGCUUUUGAAAGAUGGUUUCGGCUAUCUCUAACAGAUGGGCCCGCGGUGCAUUAUCUAGUUGGUAGGGUAAUGGCUGACCAAGGCAACGAUGCAUAGCCGACCUGAGAGGGUGAUUUGCCACACUGGGUCUGAGACACGGCCCAGACUCCUUCUGGCGGCAACAGUAGGGAAUCUUCCGCAAUGGACGAAAGACUGUCGGAGCAACGCCGCGUGUAUGAAGAAGGUUUUCGGAUCGUAAAGAACUGUUGU
RNAcentral lists this ribosomal RNA (338 nucleotides) under Listeria monocytogenes. Its description in RNAcentral is "bacterial SSU rRNA". It matches the Rfam family "Bacterial small subunit ribosomal RNA", at positions 108 to 439 of the family's 1533-position model. The record is from RNAcentral. Lineage: Bacteria; Bacillati; Bacillota; Bacilli; Caryophanales; Listeriaceae.